CCUACGGGAGGCAGCAGUAAGGGAUAUUGGGCAAUGGGGGAAACCCUGAACCAGCAACGCCGCGUGAGCGAAGACCGUUUUCGGAUGGUAAACCUCUGUCCUCUGUGAAGAUGAUGACGGUAGCCGCGGAGGAAGCUCCGGCUAACUCCGUGCCAGCAGCCGCGGUAAUACGUAGGGAGCGAGCGUUGUCCGGAUUUACUGGGUGUAAAGGGUGCGUAGGCGGCUUGGCAAGUCAGUAGUGAAAUCCAUGGGCUUAACCCAUGAACGGCUAUUGAAACUUGCGAGCUGGAGUGAAGUAGAGGUAGGCGGAAUUCCCGGUGUAGCGGUGAAAUGCGUAGAGAUCAGGAGGAACACCAGUGGCGAAGGCGGCCUACUGGGCUGUAACUGACGCUGAGGCACGAAAGCGAGGGUAGCAAACGGGAUUAGAUACCCCGGUAGUC
Molecule: ribosomal RNA, 440 nt
Filed under: uncultured bacterium
Lineage: Bacteria
Description: partial 16S ribosomal RNA
Rfam family: Bacterial small subunit ribosomal RNA
Source: RNAcentral